This 319-nucleotide long non-coding RNA is filed under the name Elaeis guineensis (African oil palm). Its description in RNAcentral is "long non-coding RNA (EGUI_LNC041046)". The record is from RNAcentral. Lineage: Eukaryota; Viridiplantae; Streptophyta; Magnoliopsida; Arecales; Arecaceae.
CCUACAUGCUCCAUACAGGAGCCUUCAUUUCAAGUUCCUUCGAUAAUUUCUCUGAUUUUAUGUUUAAAUUUUGUUGAUUUAUUAACCCCUAUUCUGUGAAUGGAGGAGGUAGAAGAGGAUGCCGGUCCUCUAUUCUGUGAAGAAAAAAAAUCUUCAAGAAGGCUGAAGGUGGAUAAAAGUUAUAUUUUUCAUAUGAAAGAAGGAUAACCUUUCUUUACGCAAAUCCAAUCCACUUUAUGUCAUCCAUGCACAGCUCUAAAAGCUGUCCAGAAUCUGUCAUGAUGAAGAGAUAACAAUAGAUGACAGUAGUUUACGGGCA